Molecule: long non-coding RNA, 5920 nt
Organism: Prionailurus viverrinus (fishing cat)
Lineage: Eukaryota; Metazoa; Chordata; Mammalia; Carnivora; Felidae
Exons: 3
Source: RefSeq, a predicted model, not a curated record
ACUAUGUACUGUAGGCACCAGAGGGCGGCAGCACCACAGAGUAAUCUGGAAAGAUGGGAGGAGGAGUUUAGUGUUUGGUACUCUGUGUCCUCCCUCAUAGGUCUCUAGGCGUCUCCACCCCUUCACCCUCUCUGCCCAGGUCACUGCAAGAAUGUUCUCCAGCCCUAAUGUACUUCAGAUACGCAUUCUUGACUCCACAGUCCAAGGUGGGGGCCUGGGUGAUCAUAAUUAUUCUGGUCAAAUAGGAAUAGCAGUAAAGAGAUAGAGAAACAUCUACACUAGAGAUAGGCAUUAGGAAAAUAUUACCCAGACAGGGAAGGGAAAGGGUUUUUGUGUGUCCUGGUGAUGGGGAAGAAAGCUACUGAGUUCCCCAUUUUUUCAAAGGGAAGUGAAAAAUCACUAAGUAGCCUCCGAGCAUGUUGGGCAGAGGUGAUUGGGGUUCCGUCCAGGGGAGCUGGUGCUGUUCCAGAGAGAUCUCCCCUGCGUAGUGCCUGACAGAGAAGCCAGGGCUUUCCUGGGAACACUCUGAGACAGAACACACAGCACAAAGGGCUUAUCAAAGGUGACCUGUAGUGGUCACCACUACAGGAAAGAACAUCCGACGGGAGGGAGCCAGAACUGGUUGUGCUCAUGGUGUGAAUAUCAGGGCUAGAAUAACAAUUGCCUUGUGCGAGCUGCAGUGGGGCUGCGUGACAAGUUCAGAUGUCCCUGGGGUGGUAGGUCAUCCACAUCAAAAUGAUCUCUCUGCUCUGAUGGUUAAAUGUCUCCUUUGGAACGAUGAGGCCAAAGAGCCAGAACAAUGCAGGCUGCCCAUCCCCAGGGGAGCCUCGGGAGAGAUGUUCCCACUGGGUGGGUGGUUGUUCCCCUCACACCCUGUCCCCUCCGUGAUCUGUCCUGAGUCAGGCUCCUUCCUCUGGGACUUCAGAUUCAUCCCGUCCCUGCAUCGCUGCCCACGUGUCCCUGGGAGGGCAGCCCCCAACAGGAAGGUGUCUCAGGCCACCAGCUGCAGGAAUGCCGGGGCGCCGUGGACCCCAGAGGCAAAGACUCCUCGAUAAAGGGAAGGUCAGUUCAAGAAGCCCAGGGCUGCCGAGCCCAUCGUGGGUCCCUCGGCUCAGGGCUGCAUGAGCGCCAAAAACUGUGGGAAGAAAUCCAGUCUCUUCAUGUGAUUCCCAAAGGUACCCUUGACUCCAGAAUGAUGGCAGUCUAAAGAGCCCCAUCUGGCUCUCUAGGGUAAGGAUGGGUGAUUUCCCAAGAAACAGUUGCUCUGGAACCAUUUCCUGCGACUUUCAAGCUCCCACGUGCUCUGAGGGGAUUUCCACUAUGCCCUAUGCUGGAGCUUAUGAGUGGGAGAAAGGCAUCAAGAGACAUUUUUAGGAUUUUGAAACAUGAUCUCUUCGUUCUAACCAUCUCCGGAUGAGAGACAAGAGACUCUCCUCCUCUCUGCUGUGCUGCUGCUGGCUUCAUGCUUCACCUUUAGGGCGCCAGUGCGGCUGAAUAUCUUCAGAAAAGCCAGAGGUUUUAUUUUUCUCUCUCUCCUUCCCUUUCUCUCUUUCUUCCUAUUUUUCUUUUGCUUAUCUUCUUAAUACCGAGGUAUAGGUAGUCUUUAUUUUUUUAAUGUUUAUUUAUUUUUGAGUGAGAGAGAGAGUGGGAGUAGGGGAGAGGCAGAGAGUGGGGAACAGAAGAUGCGAAGCAGGCUCUGCACUGCGCUGACAGCAGCGUGCCCGAGGAGGGGCUCAAACCCACAGACCAGACCGUGAGAUCACGACCAGAUCUGCAGUCAGAUGCUCAACUGAUUGGGCCACCCAGCCACCCCAAAGGCAAAGGUUUCCUUAAACAUAAGGCGAACUUCAACAGACACAGAGACAACCAGACUUAGGAGCUCCCCAACUUGCUCCUCUAAAGUGUCUGCCUCCUCAUCAGUUUUCCUUGUUUUAUGGAUAAUUUUUUAAAGUCUCAUGCUAAUUUUUUUAAAGUCAGUUCUAUGUCGGCCUUGCCCUCAUGACUGCAGAUCAAGAGUCUCAUGCUCCAGGCCGUCGCCAUCUUCUCCCCUCCUUCCUUUUUUAUGUUGAAGGCACAUCUUAGGCUCUUCAGCUCUCUUGAAUGUGUUGAUCUGCCCCCCCUUCCACACUGCUGCCUCCUCUACUCCUCUUUCCUUCCCUGCCCGGCCCUUCCCCUCCCACCUUCGCCCCUCAUCUCUGGAGAGUCAUUGGAGCUUUGAGCAUCCUCCCCACUGUGGACUCUUGAGGGGCUCAGAGACCCCUCGAGCAACCAUCUGGGGCGGAAACAGGCUGACGGGGAACAGGAAACAGAGCUCACCACCGACCCUGUGUACUUGUCACACCCCGAGCUUUUUCUUUGAAGGCAGGAAGUUCUCAAGGGCCCCAGGCUUCUUCACCCCAGUUUCUCCCUUAAAGAAAUCUAUCACACUUCAUCUCCCGGAGACAGGAGUAGAAGGCCAACAAGGUGGUCACAAUGGCAGGGGAGAAAUUGAGGAAGACUAGCCAGUGGAAAUUCAUGAGUAUUUCUCCACAUUUGAGAAUUCCAUUGGUGUGUGGAUGAGAUGCCGAAGACCAUGAUGUCUGUUUCUUUAAUUUUUUUUUCAACGUUUAUUUAUUUUUGGGACAGAGAGAGACAGAGCACGAACGGGGGAGGGGCAGAGAGAGAGGGAGACACAGAAUCGGAAGCAGGCUCCAGGCUCUGAGCCAUCAGCCCAGAGCCUGACGCGGGGCUCGAACUCCCGGACCGCGAGAUCGUGACCUGGCUGAAGUCGGAUGCUUAACCGACUGCGCCACCCAGGCGCCCCCAUGAUGUCUGUUUCUAGAAACCAGUUGUUGCAGAGGUUGGGCCCCCUUCAACAAGCAAAAGUGGAUUUCGCUUCUGCUUACACAUGCAAUUCAGUGUUUGGGGUUGAUUUGGCAACUCAGGGAGUUUUUAUCCUAUGAACAUCCAGUAAAGCAGGAAUUGGAAAGAAUCACGGUAUCCGUGAACAGAGUCAGGGAAAUAAGAGACAAGAAAAUGGCCGGCAAACUGGACAGAGGUGCAGCUUUGGGAUUUGUGGAAAAUCCCCUUUGGAAACCAAAACGGAAAAGUGCCUCCAAGGUUGCCAGAAAAGGAAAAAGUAAAAACGAAAAAAAAAAAAAAAAAAAAGAAAAAAGUGAACCGUGUAGUUUUGAUGUCCAUAUAUUGAAAACGUACAUCAUUUUUAUGGUUUUCCACAAAGUCAAAGAUUAUGUGGCAAUACAAGGUUUACAUGUAUUCUGCAAUUCAUAUGUAAAAUGUACAUUUUGAAUUUAUUUGUAAAACUAAAUACUUUUCCCCAGAAAGAUUAUGUUAUCUUUAUUGAUUUUCCCAUAGAGCACUAUGAAGUUUUUAACAUUGUGGUAUAGUUUAUAUUUAUAGUUUAUUACCUAUCUUGACAGGACUCUUAUGUUCCUGUACAGGUCAACCAUUUAAUAAGCAACCAUGAAAUUUAAGUUAAAUGUUCUUUGUAAACAUUUGUCUAUUUUCAAUGAAUAAUGAUUUUGUGAAGUAUGCCAUCUGAAGACUGAAGUUAUAAAUACACCUGUUUUUGUUAUGUAAUAUUAAGAAGACUUAAAUGUGCACUUUUUCCUAUGUAGUUACUUCAUCCUUCUUUCAUGAUUUGGGGAAUUGUUGCUUUUGUUGAUAUUUGAAUCGUGAAAUUAAGACUCUCGAGUGCUAUUUUCAUUCUUGGAAAUUUGAUUCGAUGUCCCAUUUAAGGUAGAAUAUGUUCUCACUCACUUUAGAAAGGAAAUGAGGUUGUAUAUUGAUGGCUGAAUUUUGGCAGAAGAGCCACACUCUGUGAAAAAAAGGCUGUAAAGCUUGUAUAGCCGAGUGCUUAUUUUUCUCUGUUGUGUAAAUUUGCCUUGGAAAUUAGGAAGACAGCUUUUAGAAAUCAUUAGGAAUAGAAGUCAUUAGAAAUUAGAAACUCAUGAGGUUUUGUUCUUGUGCAUUCUGCCCAUAGUUCUCCUGGUCUCAUUUUUCAGGUUUUUUAAAUGCCAUGUUUUUGACGGGAUAUUAAGUACAUACAAGUAUUUUGAAACAAAUUCUUAUGUUAUAUUAUGUCACUCAAGGGGAAGAGGAAUCCAGAGGAGAUUAUAUACUGUUUAUAUUAUGAUUUAUUUUUCUGGAAUAUUGGAUACAGAGAAUUCUGUGUAUUACGAUUUUUAAUGUCUACGUGCUUGAAUUUCAAAUAUACGCUUCUAAUGUUUUUCAGUCUUUGAAACCACAUCAUUAUGUAUCAGAAUGCCACGUAGCAUCAAGGAUUUUGUUUUUGAAAAAGAGGUUGUUAAAAUUUUCUGUGGGAUUAAUACUCCGUAAGUAAACUUGAAUAAAUGGAUUUCUUGAUUUACGGUAGAAGCUAUUGGAAACGGUCUUACAUGUAACGGAUCGUGUAAAGCAUGUUGAACUCGUUCUGAGACACACGAAGAGGAAGUCACUGAUAGACACAGAGUCCUCUGGCUCAGAUGUCAGAUGAUUUUUGAAAUGGAAGGACACUGGGAGUUACUUCGUUCCUUUUUCACCUUCGUCUUCUGAAAUUUCUAGCUGUUUUGAAAACGUAAUUUCUUCAUGACAGAAAUACAUGUUCUUAUGACCAAGUGUAAAAAUAAGAAAGAAAUCGAUUCCAACUGAUACUAAAAAACACACAACAUUGACUUUACUACCAUCAAUCCUUAACCGGUGGAUAGGUCAGUGGCGGUAUAUAGAUUUUCAGUGUUGCACAGCACGUCUCUAGCACGAGUUCAUUUUGUGACUGAAAAUCUACAUCCACAGCUCCGUGUUCCCUCCUCCCCACCCUGACCGGAAGUACAGUUCUCUCUGAUUUGACACAUUUGACUAGUUUACAUACCUCACAUAAGUGGAAUCUUAGGCUAGUUUUCUUGCUGUGACGUGCUUAGAUCACUUAGCAGCGAGUCCAGAAUGACCUUCUUGUCGAAGACUGGACAACACUGCAGUGUGGACACAAGCCCCUUUCUUCACCCACGCCUCUGUCUGUGCACCUGGGGCUGCUUCUACCUCCUGAGUCCUGGGAAUUGCACAGCAAUGAACGGGGAUGUGCAAGUGUCUCUUCCAAACUUGCUUUCAAUUCUUAUGGGUAUAAAAUCAGAAGGGAGACUGCAACAUUGUACGGUGAGACAAGCUGAGUGUCAUCGUCAGAAAGAAGGCAGCUGACAGUUCACUGCCAACGUGACUCUUUUCUCCAGAUGAUACUUCCUUGUGACCCAAGCCAGUGCGGUCCCCAGAAACCCAGAGUGAAUUCCAUAUUAUCUGAUAGAACGUCUUACACUUGGACUCAGAGACUCAGUAUAUUCAAGCAUGAGGAAUUGGAAACAAAAGAUAAUCAGGAGAAAAUGUAGUUUGGAUUAUUUUAUUCUACUCAGACCCAUAAAGUAGAGACAUGCAAGAAAUAUCAGUUGAACACAGGAAACAAAGACAAGGGAAGGAUGCAAGUGGUUAAUAGUCACCUGACCAGUGACUCUGACUCCUUAGCUUCAAUGGAUAGCACCGUGCUGGCCACCAGCAGGGUGGCCAGGAAACAGCGUCCCAGGCUGUGGCUCAGGAAGGGGCUGUUGCAGGUGGGACCUCACUCCGGUCCAUGUGCUCUGUCAGCUGUCCCACUGCCCACUCAACUCCAUCCCCACCUAGUCUGGAGACCUCCCAGCCCAGGAGAACACCAUGCGGACUGUGUCCUGCUGGACGGACUGAUCCUCUCCUCCCACUCCCCUCUGGCCUGUCACAGAAGCUGGGAUCCAGCUGAACCAGUGCUCCCCGGCCCCUCUUGGCCACCUUAACUGCACAUGUAAUUCAAACGUUCACUUCUGGUCUUCACACAGGCUCAGCCUGCACACAUCUCCUUCUUCUAUUAAAGGUCUUUCCCUACACCUGGCUGCUGAAGCAAGAA